This 489-nucleotide ribosomal RNA is filed under the name uncultured bacterium. RNAcentral's name for it is "partial 16S ribosomal RNA". It matches the Rfam family "Bacterial small subunit ribosomal RNA", at positions 28 to 507 of the family's 1533-position model. The record is from RNAcentral.
GAUGAACGCUAGCUACAGGCUUAACACAUGCAAGUCGAGGGGCAGCAUGAUUGAAGCUUGCUUCAAUCGAUGGCGACCGGCGCACGGGUGAGUAACACGUAUCCAACCUGCCGAUAACUCGGGGAUAGCCUUUCGAAAGAAAGAUUAAUACCCGAUAGUAUAGUAUUUCCGCAUGGUUUCACUAUUAAAGAACUUCGGUUAUCGAUGGGGAUGCGUUCCAUUAGAUAGUUGGCGGGGUAACGGCCCACCAAGUCAACGAUGGAUAGGGGUUCUGAGAGGAAGGUCCCCCACAGUGGAACUGAGACACGGUCCAAACUCCUACGGGAGGCAGCAGUGAGGAAUAUUGGUCAAUGGACGAGAGUCUGAACCAGCCAAGUAGCGUGAAGGAUGACUGCCCUAUGGGUUGUAAACUUCUUUUAGACGGGAAUAAAGUGGAGUAUGCAUACUCCUUUGUAUGUACCGUAUGAAUAAGGAUCGGCUAACUCCGUG